GCGGCAGUAGUUCAGCUGGUAGAACGUCUCCUUGCCAAGGAGAAGGUCGACGGUUCGAGUCCGUUCUGCCGCUCCA
This 76-nucleotide transfer RNA is filed under the name Candidatus Falkowbacteria bacterium CG10_big_fil_rev_8_21_14_0_10_39_11. RNAcentral describes it as "tRNA-Gly". It matches the Rfam family "tRNA". From Rfam's summary of the family: Transfer RNA (tRNA) molecules are approximately 80 nucleotides in length. The record is from RNAcentral. Lineage: Bacteria; Candidatus Falkowiibacteriota.